GUGCAUAGAACCUCAAUUAUUUCUUGAGUAAUUUACAUCAUAUAAAUGAGUUAAUAUAGAUCCUUCCAGGAAAUUUCUUCCAUGUGUCAGGCAGAUGAGAUUAAAUAGUAGAAAAUAUGUACCUAGAAAUAUAAGAAAUAUACUGAAUAUGAAGGUAACUUACAGCUAGAGCCUCAAAGCCUCCUCCUUGCAAUGACGAAGUCAUGUCUCGGUUAACAGCAACAAUAUAAUGUCCAUGCAGAAGAUCAAUGGCAUCCUUUUUAGUUCAUGCAACAACCAAAUUUAUAAUGAGGACCUUCAAUGACUAAUGCAUGAAAAUCAAAGCCAUUAUAAGGGCUAACCUUCAAUGACUAAUGCAUGGAAGUUUUUUUUAGAAGAAAUGCAUGGAAGUUGGAACAACAAAACCAACAAUCAAAUAAUAUUGUAAGUACAGAAUACUAACCCAUCAAAGUAUGAUUAAUAAAUGGGAAAAUAAAGGUACAAGUAGAAAAUGCACUCAGAAAUACAUUAAAGGCCCUUUGGUUCUGUAACUUGAAAUGUGUUCACUUGACAGGGCAAGAAGACACUGAAGAAUAAUCCCCACAACAAAAAUAUAAAAAGAACAAUUAAUCUUGUGAUUCAAGAAACUCUAAAUGAACCAUGAAUAUUUUCAACUGUGGUCACGUCUAAAAUAUUGGAAUUUGUUUUUCAGAAACCAAAGCGUCAUUCAUGUCAGUGUAAAAAAGUACAAAUAUGCAUUUUAUGGCAGAGCCAUUUAGGAAGGAAAAAAUAAAGGAAUCACAGACCACAAGAGAAACAAUGGGAUCCCUUUCUUCGCAAGUAAGUCCAUCAGUUCAUUAGCCAUGUGGAAAAAUAUGGGGAAACUACACAUGUAGGCCAUAUAAGUCCUAGAUAACUCAUAGAGAUUACCCACAAGUACCCAUCUAUUAAAUUAGCUGAAUCAACCUCCAACAGCCACGGAACCCACUUCGAGGAAUAAAUGCACAAAACCAACUAGGACAUGAGCUUGAACUUUCAUUGGCAUCAAAUUCACUUUAGUCAAUACCUAGGAUGGACAACUAGGUCAGGGGCAACAGUUACACCCAGUGCAACUGCAUCCCAAGGACCUAGAAAACUAAAGGUCCAAUGCCCCAAAUAGAUUUGGGGGGAAGGUUGAGAGAAGUUUUGAGAGAGAGAGAGCAUAGGUCUAAAAUAGUGUUAUUGAGAUCAGACCGGUGCUCGAACCGGCAAAGGGACUGGUCCAUUUAAAACCGGUCCGACCGGUCAAACCUUUUUCAUAUGCAUAAAGAAUUAAAAAAUGACUAAAUUUCAAAUAUUCAAUAAAAAUAAGAAAAACAUUAGGUAAAACCAUUGAAAACUCGGUUAAAAAAAUUAUCGGAAAAAAUUCCAACUCGUGCAAAAAAUUAAAUAUUGGAGGAUUUUUCAAUUUAGUAAAUUAUGUAAAAAAUGAAUAUGGCCUAUGACAUCAUUAUUCAUAAAGCAUAAGUUCGUCAAUGAGGACGGACCUGGUGCGCCUUUGUCCCCAUCAAAGAGAGAAAAAAGUACAUCCAAAAAGGGGGAAAGAAAAUUGAUAAGUAAGACAAUUUUCCUUCUAACAAUUUAGGAUGACGAUUUUGGCCAAAAUCUUGAGGCCUUUUGAAUUAAAUAUUUUGGAAAUAAAAUAUCAUGUGCAUCAAAAUGGAAAAUAUAGAAAAAAGACAAAAAUCAGACCAAAAGAUAGGAAGAGAGUUGGAGGAAAGAUUGGGUCGGUUCAUCCAGGAGAACUGGCAAAACUGACAAUCAAACCAGUUCAACUAGUCAACCACCGGUUUUGACCAGUGCUCAAGAAAUACCGGUUUAUUGCCCAUAGUAUACCGUCCAAGGCACCGGUUGGAGGUUCGACCAAUUCAACCACCGGUUCAGCCCAAUUUUGAUAACUAUGGUCAAAAUAGAUUUUAAGGAAGUGAGUAAGAGAGAGAGACUCAUCCGAGACUUAUCAAAAAAGUAUUACUUGGAUAAGUCUUUGGAUACCACAACAAGACUCAGUCAGGCCUAAGGCAAGUCAACUCGGGAAAGUUUCAACCCGAGUUGCAAGUUUUAAAGCCAUGAUAUGGACAAUAGAUCUAUGGUAGGGCUUGGCUUCAGGAUGACAGCAGGAUUUUGAGAAGGAAACUUAGAGAAUUAUAUUAGAGAUAAAGGUAUACGUUCAUCAAAGGAAGAUGCAGCCGAAUAAUAUGGCUUGAGGGAGACAACUGGUUAAUACAAUGGAUCUCUUGUAUGUGGAACAUGAAAGAAAAUUUGAUGUUUAGCCUCUACAUUUAUCAAAUUCUGACUACUGAAGACUGGUGCUGAAGAUCAACCAAAUUAGGAUUUUGCAAAGAAUCAAGCGUUUGAAGGAAAUAUCACCCCGAUACCAUGUAACUGUGAAGAAUAAUCCUUGCAUAAUAUUUCUCAUGCCACAUGAAGAUUGCACUUAUAAACUACAGAGAUACUCUACAUGGCCCUUGAGAGAGAAAAAGAACAUUAAAGUUAACUAUGAAUUCAACACAGUUACUGGUCUGUUCUUACACAUACAUAUAACUCAUCUAUUAUACAAUACAAUACGAAUAAACAGCCACAACAUAAUCCAUUGGCAUCCAUAGCGCAGUAAUCAGUCAUGAAUAUUUACACCCUUUGUUCAUGAGUAUUAUAUCUAAAAAUAAGUGUACAGAACAAUCUAUCCUAAGCCACAGCUAAAAUAAUUCAGAAUGAUGCAGUACAUAACUAAUCAUUCAUAUAGAUGAGAUUAUAAUUCUAAGGGCUAAAUAGUCUUAAGAUCAAAGUGAGUCCCUAUGGCCCAAAAAUGAAAACGAAAAACUUCAUGCAAAACAAUUCCUGCCUAACACCAACCUGUUUUGUGCCAUCACAGAAGUUGUUUAAGUAAUAACGAGCAAGUGCAUUCCGUCCAUCAUUGAAGAUUCCCUGGAUGGUCCUCUUCCCAU
RNAcentral lists this long non-coding RNA (2960 nucleotides) under Amborella trichopoda. Its description in RNAcentral is "long non-coding RNA (ATRI_LNC000554)". Lineage: Eukaryota; Viridiplantae; Streptophyta; Magnoliopsida; Amborellales; Amborellaceae. The record is from RNAcentral.